This 497-nucleotide ribosomal RNA is filed under the name uncultured bacterium. Its description in RNAcentral is "partial 16S ribosomal RNA". It matches the Rfam family "Bacterial small subunit ribosomal RNA", at positions 28 to 507 of the family's 1533-position model. The record is from RNAcentral.
GAUGAACGCUGGCGGCGUGCCUAAUACAUGCAAGUCGAGCGAACGGACGAGAAGCUUGCUUCUCUGAUGUUAGCGGCGGACGGGUGAGUAACACGUGGAUAACCUACCUAUAAGACUGGGAUAACUUCGGGAAACCGGAGCUAAUACCGGAUAAUAUUUUGAACCGCAUGGUUCAAAAGUGAAAGACGGUCUUGCUGUCACUUAUAGAUGGAUCCGCGCUGCAUUAGCUAGUUGGUAAGGUAACGGCUUACCAAGGCAACGAUGCAUAGCCGACCUGAGAGGGUGAUCGGCCACACGGGAACUGAGACACGGUCCAGACUCCUACGGGAGGCAGCAGUAGGGAAUCUUCCGCAAUGGGCGAAAGCCUGACGGAGCAACGCCGCGUGAGUGAUGAAGGUCUUCGGAUCGUAAAACUCUGUUAUUAGGGAAGAACAUAUGUGUAAGUAACUGUGCACAUCGUGACGGUACCUAAUCAGAAAGCCACGGCUAACUACGUG